Equus caballus (horse) is the source of this 7068-nucleotide non-coding RNA. The record is from RefSeq and is a predicted model, not a curated record. NCBI's taxonomy places the organism in Eukaryota, Metazoa, Chordata, Mammalia, Perissodactyla, Equidae.
UUCUCUGCUCCGAAUUUCAAUGCCUGUCGAGCAACCAACGUACAUUUGUCCAUCUCUAAGGCUUUAAACUGAUAGAGAUCACUGAGGAAAACAUGUCAAAUGGUCUUCCGAAACCUCUGUGUCCUAACGAACAGCUAAGAAGUAACUAGUCAGGAUACUGUUUCUUCCUGGAUCCAGAUACACGAAACCGAGAAGCAAUCAGAGAAAGCUCUGCCUGCCACAGUUAUGGCGUAACGCAAGGUGUCAGUUUGGGGUCGGUGAUCAGAAUCACACAGCCAGCUCCAUGAGGAUCGGGGCACUCGGUUCAGCCACUCAGGUGCUGAUGUGACUGUGUCUCGCCCAGGCGGAGAAGAGUCGAGAGGCUUGGGGAUGUCUCUGAAGAACCAUCACUUGCAAGAGAAUUUAACACUUAAAUAGGUUAAGAGGUCGGUUUGGCCCUCACUUUUGCUGGGUCCAGCUUGGAGCGGGGAAGUCUGUCGGUGAUACAAGAAAGUAUUGAGAAUUCUUCCUGCAUUAGGAGCGAACACUCUUGAUUGCUGAUUAAAAUUGGCCUCACUGAUGCAAACCUGAACCUUUCAGGAAGUGGGUUGUGAGAAGUCCUAAUUAGCGUGAAAUUAUAUUUUGUGGCCCUGAUCCGUGUAGGACCGUAACUCCCUAGGUGAGGGAAGUAUUCGGAUCGUCCAGGCACUGGAGAUUGCCUGGAACCCGGACAUGAACUCAAAUGCUAUUUCCUACCCUCACUCCCAAACCCUGAAGAGCACUUUUCACUCAAAUGAAAAAGAAUUUCGAAAUUUUCCCCCUUGUUUUAGAGGGAAGAGGUAAGCCUCUCUCUGCCCUUCAGAAAUUCAACAUCAACUUCUCAUUUUCACAUACCGUUUGGUUAGUUUCCACACGUUACUUGUCCAUGAGUAACUUCCCAAACAAAGAUCCUUUUCCCUCCCAAGUGUCCAAAGCUGGUAUCAGGUCUCUAAAUAAGUGCCAAAGCAUUAUUAUUGUAUUGCCUGAUAAGCAUAGGACAAAAUUAACAUAAAAUAGAACGAAGUUGUUUAACACUUCUUAUCUCACAGAUUAAAUACAUCCUGAACGGCAAUAGGGCCGUCACAGAAUGCCCUGAUAGAGAAAAAUCUUGAAUCAUCGGCCAGAGAUCCACAAGACAGCUGUGCACCUAAGAGGCCUGGGUCCCAUAAGUGAUCUCAGAGCCAAGUUGCGUUCUCUGUCCAGAUUCAGGGGAAAAGCCUUGGGCGGCCAGCCUGCUGGUAGAAAAGAUGCGGAGCUUGCAUUCUGGCUGAGGCCCAGAGCAAGAUCCCAGGAGCCCCAGUUCACCUGAGCACAGUCACAUAGAGCCACCUGCCAGCCCUGGGUCUCUGCAGCAGCCAGAUGCACCCGCCACAAGCCUAGAACAGCUGGCAGCAGGGAGUAGGGGGGAGGGGAAUAGGGGCGUGGCUGUGGUGAGUAAAUCACCAUCCAACACCCUCCCCCUACAGAUGUCUCAGCAAUCAAGUCUGCGGGUGAGCGAACAAUGAUAGUGGAACACCUGGCUUUGCUAUAGCUUUGCAUACCUGCCACAGGCACUUUGGACACACAGAAUCACAUGUUGGGUGGAGGGUGGAUAAGCAGCUGAAAAUGCAUCUAUUCAUCAUAGGAAGACAGGGGGAGUCAGGACAUGGUCCCUAACAUUUGGAAGAGCUAAACUCGGGCUGAGGUCUUCAGAAACAAGAUGCCAUUAUAUACAAAGACUGAAGGGUGACAGGUGGCCCCAUUAGAAAAGAAUUCACAAAGCUUCAGUUUUGAUAUUACUUGGAGACUGAAAUGUAAUGAUCCCAUUUAUUCCAUCAGCAAAAGUUGUCACAGUCUUGUUGUAAGAAGAAUGAGCCUCCGCCCUUUGGAAAUUCAACGUGAACUUAUCAUUUUCACAUACUGUUUGGUAUAGUUUCCACAUGUUAAUUGUCCAAUAAGUAACUUCCUGAACAAAGAUCUCUUUCCCUCCGCAGCAUUGAAGCUGGUGUCAGGGCUUUGAAUAAGUGCAAAUCAAAGCACGUCGUCUAUUCCUUGAUAAGCCUAGGAUGAAAUUAACAUAAAAUAUAAUGAGGUUAUUUAACUCUUCCUAUCUUACAGAUCAAAUAAAUCUAAGAUGAAAAUAGGAUUGUCACAGAAUGCCCUGGUAGAGAAAAAUCUUGAAGUAAUAAUCUAUGUUUCCUGGCUGAAUAUAGACCUAUGGUAUUAACAUCAUCUCAUAUAUAACAUACAUAUUAUCACACAUUUAUGCUAUAAAUAUUAUAUCCAUAUACACACUCUAUACGUGUGUAAUUAAAUAUUAGAAUUCUAUUCUUAACUACCCCAAAGUCAUAUUUUUAUAAUUAUUUGUUUGGCUAAGAUUUUAACUCCUAUAAUUUAAUAUUCCAUGGUCCACCAUUGAAUCCCUUGCCCCAUUUGGAAUUAAUGAGGAGACAGACGAAUGAGUGAAUGAAUGAAUGAGUGAGGAAUAUGUGCUGCCCACUGCUUUUACUCUCCCAGGGGUGGGCAGUCUCCAUUUCGAUCAGCCUCUUAUAGAGAGUUGGGUCCACACCCCAUUUCCUUCCACCUUGACUUUCUAGAUUGAUCUGUAGACAUUUUCCAAGAGCAGAACUUGGCUUAGAGAAAGCACUAUUUGAAAAGUGUUUAAUGAUAUUCCCUGAAGUUGCUUGGCCAAAUAUGACUGAAUCUUUCUAACGCAGAGAGAAAACAAAAUUAUUUACUCAUUCAGUAUUUAUUAGUUUGGAAACGGGACACAGUACCUAGCACACGACAAGGACUGAUGUUUGCUUUCUCAAGGUACCUGCCUCAUGCUCCUUCAGAAGACAGCAAGAAGAGGCUUACAGUGGCCGAGCCAAUGUUGACUGUAGCACAAUUCCUUAUGUUUUAGGGAGCAAUUAAUUCUGAUAAUUGAUGUUGGUAUAACAUGGGUCUUAAAUGAUUUAUGAAGGAGUUUUCUGACUCAGUACAGGCGUCUCUAAGAGUGUGCUUACCCAUUGCUGCCAUAUCCUGUGGAACACCAGAUAUGAAGGAGACCAGAAGGCAGGCAGAGAUGGGGAGCAGGAGUGUCAUGUCUCAGCUUUGCACCUGGGGCAGCCCAGGCCUGGGGGACAGCACAUGCUGAGCCCAGGCCACACCAGCCUCGCUCGUCAUCCAGAGCUAUAAGCUGGACACUGGGCAGGCCCAUGAUGGAGUUUCAGGUGGCAGCCUCAGAAGGAGACCACAGAGCCUGAAGUGGACUUCUGGCUGUGAGACUCUGUGGUCAUGUGGUUCUCUGGCUGCUCAUGCCCACAGACUGUCCAUCUGCCCAAAUACCGACCCCAGUGGCCAUCAGCCCACUACUCCUUGGGAUUUUAAAUGCUUUAGGAUUUUCCUUUUGAAAGUCAAGGCCUCUGGUACAGGCAGGCUUCAAGCCAUUACACUUUGUUUAUGAAGUAAGACCUAACUCAGAGUUGAAUGAUUAAUUAUGAUGAUUAACAGUGGGGUGUGGAGAAGGGGAGGGGAGGAAAAAAGGGGCAAGAACAGGAAAGGACACAGAGACUAGUAUUUAUUGAAUACCUACUGUGUGCCAAGCCCUGUUGUGAGACCCUUUAUACAUCUGUUGUUUCUAAAUCCCCACAAGAACAUUGAAAGAUGGAUAUAAUUAUUCCUGUUUACAGAUGAGGAAACUGAGGCUCAAAGAAAGUGAGCACCUUGCUGUCAGUCACAUCUCUGGAGGUGGCAGUGCUGGUGUUCUCACCUGCAUUACCUGACCCAGUGUACCCUUCUCCCACUGUGUCAGGAGGAUGCUCCAAAGACACACCUUACACUCCCACCUGGGGUCCAGCCUGGGCUCCCCCUCCCCCCCCCAGUCUACCUUGGAGAAGCGAGGACUAGGGGUGGGGAGAUAGUUGACAGGUUCUAGGGAAGGUGGUGGCCCCAAGGGAGGGGGGAGGGGAGUUAGGUGCUUCAUUUCUUCCUCCAGCUCAAUGUCUGCCACCACAAAGCAACUCCAUGUGGAUACAGUGUAAAUAAAUAGUGUGAGCUACGCCAGCACAACCUCAAAGCAAGACCUCUAGAGUCUCUGUCUACCCCGACUGCCAACUCUAAGCCCCCCUCCUAUGGAAAAUUUGGAGCCUCCUUUGAUUUACAAAAGAAUAUGCUAAUGUCUCUUAGACUGAAUGCUCCCUGAGAGCAGGAAUGUGUCCGCUUAACUCUGCACGGCAUCUAACAGGCUACACCCAGUGCCCGCCCUACAAUAAUUUCCCAGGAAACACUGGUGACAUGCAUGAAUGAAGAUGAAUCGCUUCUGCUUGCCUUCUGCUUUAAACCAAAAAAGCCUGAAUCACCCCCUGUGGGUGAAACUUGCUAUCCCCAAGGAGAGAAAUGUCCUUACAGCUCUCUGGUAGCUUCUAGAGCAUUCUGUACCCACUGGAGCCAAGCAAGGCCUGUGACAUUCUUAGGACGCUAUUGAGCUGCCAGAGCACGUCAAGUUUAAUGCUCCCUCAGCAAACAAGGAGACACGCGCAGGCCCAAAGACAGUGGCUGUCAAAUGGACAUGUGAAAACUGAAUUGCUGUUUCUUGGGACGUGGUGAGAGAGUUUCUCUCCCUUUCGAGAAAGGUCUGGGUAAAGGAACUCAGAGAAGCCCCAAAGGCCUGAGACUCAAAGGGGGCUGUCCAAAAUUUAUCGCUUAUCUGACCAGAGCUGUCUUGGACAGACUGAAGUCAUUAGCUGGGCGGGCUUGGGUGGGAGGAACCUCCGAGGUACCUGGCACAGAGAGUCCGAGAGGGGCAGGCACCAUCAUGGUCAGCUCUAAAUCUCUGAACUAAAAUUACUAGGGCAGAAAGACGUGGACAUUCGGUGCCGUCCUUCCCUCCCACCUCCUUGGAGCAACAUGUGCCCUUUCAAAAAGAAUAGCACAGAUAAAAAUCUCAUCCAUUUACUGCAGAGUCUCUGCCAUAGUUGUAAAAGAAAGGCCUUUAUCAUCCCCCGAAUUAGAUCUGUGAUUUUUUUGAAUGACAAGUAUAAUAAUUAGACUGUGAAGAUGUGCCGUUAAUCCAUUUAAAGGUGUAAAGAAGUCCAUUUAAUGAACAUUAUAGUCACAUUAGACUUGGAAACAUCCAACUCUUUUGUUGAAUAAAAAGAAGUUCAACGAGAUUAACUUCUCUUAGUUGGUUUUAAGGAAUAAUCAAACAUGUCUCCCUCUGAUAGUGUACGGUGCCUUCUCGUGUGGAUUCUGCAUACCAAUGUCUGCCAGCCAGGAAGGGUAAGAAUAAGGCCGCCAGACCUCACAUUUCAGUCAAAUAAUUACAAAUUAAAAAGGAUCACUCCUACUUUCUAUACUUACUAUAAAGUGAUAAGAGGCCCAACUCCUUGAACUUGUAAUUAUGUAACAGAAAUGUUAAUCUUCUGGUUCGGUAUUCUCUCCUGCUGUAUUACAUGCAUUCUUACAACGAUCAAGUUUACUACUUGACAUGUAGAUAUUUCUGCUGGGAGACCCAUUACUUGAUCCUACCAGAUUCUGACCACAAAUAGGGUAACGGAUCGUUUUCAAAUCUUGUGCUGUUUCGCAUCUCCGGAUGAGGCUGCUGUGAUGGCUGCUUAACUGGAGUAAGUGCCGGGCACAGAUGCUCUCUGCUCCGAUGUAGAGUGGCUCAGAACCCAGAUAUCCUAGCUAACUCCUGGGGUUAUUUCAAAGAGCCAGACUUUUGAAACAGAAAUGGACAAGUUUGGAAUAAUCCCAGAUUUGAUUUAAAAAACAAACGAAAAAAAAAGAAGGUGCUAAAUUGCGGUUGGUCAGAUUUUGUCUAUUAAUUAGACUCUUCUCCCUCAGGCUUCUGACUUACUACCGCCUUUGUAGCUCGGGAAUGUAUAUUUCACCUUAUACAUUGGCUCUCUCUUCUCUGUAGUUGCUAAGAAUUUAAAAACAAACCACCGAGACAUAUAACAUACCAUCUAAGAUUUCAGAAGGCAAAGGGUAAAGAUUGCCUUUUCCCACGGAAAAGAAGCCUUCCAUAGUGAGGAAGGACAAGCCUAAGAAGAGCUGGUCUAAACAUGAAAUUAGGGAGUCGGCUUGGGAAGAGCGUGUCAGCACAGCAUCCUCUCUCCUUGCUUUGUGCCUGAUGCCUCCCGCGAACCAGUGACAGUGAUGGAUGACUGUGGAGAUUGUCCAAGCCAAACUGCUAACCAGCACUGUUAGAUCUUUUUGUAGUUGAGGAAACAAAGCUGAUAAGAUCAAGAAGCAACAUAAUCCCCGGUGAUGGAGUGUGAUCUGUCUUGUAGAGCGUAACUGGCAUUACGCAGACAUCAUACCUUAAACCAACCAUGGUAUUUGUAGGAGCGGAAAGAAAAACUUACUGCAGGUUAAAAGAAGUUUGGUUUUCAAAAGAAUCAUAAAAAUGGGAUGUGCCUUUCAGAGGCCGUGGCAGUGUCUACUCCGGAUCAGCUGAGACUAACUCAGAAAUUAAGCCUGGAGACCCGGCACGCAUCUCGUUUCACUUUCCACUUCUGUUUUGCUCUGGCUCCCUUAUAAUCCUCCAAGAUGAACGUCCAAGAGGGAUAAAACAGGGAGACCUUAUUCCGAAAGGUCACAAUUAGAUCAUUGCCUUUCACCGGCCUUCAAACGGGGCCAAGGGGAAUAAUGGUCUGGGCCUUCCAUCGCCCUGGGAAAGAGGAAGAACAUUACAUUUUGUUAUUUGUUGCUAUGACUUUUCUUUAUUUUGAGAUUAUCUUCAUUAUAUGUUUAUCCCACAUAAGACACGUACUAGCUAAGACAAAGGGACAAUACGUUCAGUCCACAAGUGAGCUAAAAUGGCAAACGCAGAGGAAAACUUGAUGUAUACACUUCUGGAACUGAUGGUCCAACUGUAAAAGACGACAUGUUCCUUCUGGUACCUGUCUGGGUUUUUGGUGUAGAAACUGAUUUAGAGGUCUAGGGAGCCCUGGGGCAUUCGUAAUGGGCGAAGGUUGCCGACAUCACCAAAGUUUGAAGCUGUUCUGUAACUGCUUUAAUCAACCUGAAAUUUAAAAUUACACUUCAGUGAAGAAUAUCUACGAGAUCUUAAAAAAAAAAAAA